UCAGUGACUUCGAAAAUUUCUUGAGCGA
RNAcentral lists this non-coding RNA (28 nucleotides) under Bombyx mori (domestic silkworm). The record is from RNAcentral. Lineage: Eukaryota; Metazoa; Arthropoda; Insecta; Lepidoptera; Bombycidae.